GUUCCUUCCCACUCAGCCGCAGCAGGAACUCCCUGCUCAUUUUGGAUGAAAUGAGACAUACUGGUGGGCUCUUUCCAGCGGGGAGGUACUGUGGUGGACUUGGCGGCUCAGUGAAAAAGUCAGAGUUUUGUUGCUGCCCGACAAGCAGGCCUGUAAUUUCGGUUUUGCCCCAGGCUGCUGUCCCUGGCUCCUUGGCCAUGAGUCUGGGCCUGACUCCUGAGGCCUGAGCUCUGAGGUGGGUCCUGAUGGGGAGGGAAGGCGACGAUCUUCACAAAGCCUGAAGGGUUUCCUGAAACCGGGACUGGGGUGCUGGUGCUUCCUCCACCGGGGGGUUCGGGAGCACAUCUUUAGCCCUGGUGAAUUCUUUUUUUUUCACCUGCAGCAUAUGGAAGUUCCCGGGUUAGGGGUCGAAUUGGAGCUGCAGCUGCCUGCCUCCACCAGAGCCACAGCAAUGCAGAGUCCCAGCCAUGCCUGUGACCUACCGCACAGCUCACAGCAACGCUGGAUCCUUAACCCAUUGAGCGAGGCCAGAUUUUGAACCCGUGUCCUUAAGGAGACUAGUCAGGUUCGUAACUUGCUGAGCCACAAUGGGAACUCCCCUGGUCUGCCAGUAUGGUUUAUAUUCCUACUGUGGACAUAGGUAACUUGUCCAGGUUGGAGUGAAAAAGAGGGUACAUCCAAUUUUAAUAUUCUAAAUAAAUGGCUGGGGCCUAUUGUGAGAUUGUCCUUUUCUCUAGUUUAAAGUCUUUCCUACCUGGCUGUGGUGGCUCCUGCCCGCCCUCCACUGCUCUCCUGCUGCCUCUUCCUCUCCCCAGGGCCUAGAACCUUCUUUCCCCAGGGGCUGGUCAACGCCCUGGGAGGCUGCAGAACCAUGGUUCUCUGAAAUGUCACAGCUCAGGAAGAGGGGGCCCCGUGCCUGGCUUCUCUCUGGCUCCCUGGAUAUUCUGAAAUUAACAACACAUAUGACUUGAACCCGGGAGAACCCAGACUGGGACCUAAACCCACAGUUUUCUAAGUAGAAUCACUCACCUGGUGUCUGGACUUUCUGAGGUUCAGGCUCUUUGUGUCCAGCUCAGAAGGAAUUCGGCGAGAGACAAAGUGAUAGGCAAGAAAUAGAUUUACUAAAGUAGGAUGCUUGUGAGGGAUACAGGCGGGCAGGUGAGGAGGCGCUGCCCUGGGGAGCAGGUGGGCUACGUUUCUGGAAUCCAAGGAGAGCGGGAGGGGGAAAACCGCCUUCUUCCUCUUUCUUCUCGUGGACGCCAGACUCACAGCCUUAGCUCCUCCUUCGUAUCUGGUCAGAGUAUCUGACCCUCUGAGGUCAAACCAGAACUGUCCCGGUGCUUCUUCGAAUUCGCAGAAGGUGGUACCAGAGGCUAACAUGUGGAAGCAUCUCAGGUUUCUGUACAGCGAGGGGUCUCCUACUUUGGAAGGAAGGUCAUCUUUCCCUUCAAUUCCUGCCCUUGGCUCUAAGGAGCAUUAUCUCGCUGAACUUGAACGCAGGCCUCAUUUUAUCUUUCACUUAAUGACUUGAGGCAUAGCUCAUGCUUUUAUUCAUGGUUUUAAGCAAGUCUGCUUCCUGCCGAUGGCUUUCUUGGGUGUUUAUUAACUCACAGUGUCUCCCAAAGUCCCCUGGGUUUCCCUCUCUAGCUCUGGUCCCUAUCGGGACGCCUAUAAUGACCUUAUCUACCCCAGCCUGUCAAUUCCACUCCAGAGGCCUUGGAAUUCCUCUUCACCAGGACCUUCUGAACUCCGAUUUCAGCAAAUUUUAACUUUAAAAAUACUGGUUUCAAGAACCUGCGCCUCCUUGCUUUGGGGAGGCUCUGUCGUCCAUGUCACAUUUACCCGCCAUGCUUCCUAACGACGUCUCCGCUUGGGAAAAAAUACACAAAAAUAGCAAUUUCAGCUUGCCGCACCUGCUAGGGAGAGUCUAGCAGGCAUUCAGGUUUGUGGUGUAUGUUAGUGCGUUUCCAUCCACGUCUCCGGAGCACUGGCAAAGGCAGGAAGUGCCAAGACGGCCUGACCUGGAGGCUGCACCUGAGGUCGCCAGCCGGGCACAGCGACCAUAAGGUCCACACCAACAACAACAACAAAAAAAACAAAACCCAAAUUCUCCAUUUAAUAGUCCUUUGAGUUCUCUCUUUCAAAUGACUUUUUGGUGAUAGUUUGAAUUAUCGUUCAAACUUACUUGAACGAAAUUAUUGUUCAAAUACCUCUUUCUUUCCCUUUCCUGUGUGGGUGAAGUUUAUUUUCCUGACUCGUUGUUGCUUCUCCUGUAUCCUCACAUAUGUUUUUCUAUAGCCAUGGAAUGUUAGUGGACAGGUCUUAAAUGAGCCUGUACCUUUUGGCUUUUCUGCUUUGGGAAUCUUCCAUUUAAAGAGCCUGCUGCAGAUAGCGUGGCCCCUUCAGCUUGGAUUCUGGGGUGAACACACAUGGGAGCAGACCUGAAUCCAACUCAUAGCAGCUAGAGGAGUCUGUUUUAGUGGAGUGAAGGCAAACUCGUGUAAGAAGCUGCUGGGCUUUGAGAUAGGCUCGCAGCAGUAUUUUGACAAUAUAACUCAUUCAGAUGCUCUUGCAAUGGAUGUAUCAGAAUUUCUCUCUAAAAGCAGCAAUCUGUUAGGAAUAUGGGACGAGGGAAAUUAUCUUGAAGUCGGAUUUACUGAGCAAGGACACUGCUUUUAUUUAGUUUGUCUUUCAGAACCCAAUUAUUUUUAACUUGGAACAUUUUCAGAAUAAUUCUUACCAACUGGCCAUCUUGACAGUAAAAGCUACAAGCAUGGCCCCGUGCAGCAUGGGGAACUGCAAAAUAUCCACCCAUGAGAGCUGGAGCUUAGUCCUCGCCUUGUGAAUGUUGGAGAUUGUCAACCAAAACAAACUUUUAGCUUAUCUGAUCUUAAGCUGCUCUUUUUGAUUCUAGUUAGUCAACAGUUUCAGCUGCUGAAGUUUUCCCACGGAACAAUGUUAUAAUGAGUUGGAUAAUUGGAAGUUGUGUUCCCGACCAAGGACUCAGCAGCAAAUAAAUCAUAGAUAUAACCAACCAUAUGUCACACAGACAAGAUACAACCCCCAUAAACCCUCCAGAAUCAUUUGAAUUAGCAAAAUGAUGACCUCGGGCCCAUGAAAGGGGCAAGACUUUGCAAAGAGCAUAAAAUACAGGCCUAAUGUAUCAUAAAUUUGGCCAAUAUGAAACUAAUAGAUAGCUAUUGUAAACUUGGAAUUAACACGUUUGUAGAAUGAUGUCUAUGGCCUGGGUCGUCAAGGAAGGAAAAGCAAUCUUACUGUCACAGUAAGUUUCGUGGAUGCAUCCUUUAUCCCUCAAUGAAUUCCGUGGCCGUAAAUACCUCAGGUAAAAGCCAAUAUUGUUUCUUGAAAGGCAGGACCUUGGGGAAAAGUGUUUAGGACAGAAACACCAAUCAUCUUAAACGGCACUGUGGAUGUUUCCGUCUGUCGCCAUAGAUAAUUAGCUGACACCUGUGAGGAGUGUACACACACACACGCACAUACACGCACACCCAUUCCCUCCUGAAACUUACUUUGGCGUCCGGUCUUGAACACGGGGGUGUGAAAAGCAACCCCAGCAAAACUCCGUUUCGUGGUUCCUUUAUGCCAGUGGCUCUUAAAUAACAUGAUUUUUGUUGACAUUGAGUAAUGUCUGGAAACAUUUUUGAUUGUCCAAACUGGGUGGUACCACUGACCUCUAGCAGGUGCUGCCAAACAUCCUACCACACACAGGACAGGGCCCAACGGCAAGGACUUGUUGGGCCCUAAAUGUCAACAUUGCCAAUGUUGAAAGCCCUGGCUUUACACAAAGGAUCGUGUUGUAGAGAAAAAGGUGGAUUCUGCCAUUCAGCGUAAGCGGAUAAUUCUUUUUUUUUAAGGGCUUCACCCGAGGCAUAGGGAGGUUCCCAGGUGAGGGGUCGAAUCAGAGCUACAGCUGCCGGCCUGCGCCACAGCCACAGCCAUGCCAGAUCUGAGCCACAUCUGCGACCUACACCACAGCUCACGGCAACGCCAGAUCCUUAACCCACGAGCGAGGCCAGGGGUCGAACCUGCUUCCUCAUAGAUGCCAGUCAGGUUUGCUAACCCCUGAGCCACGCCGGGAACGCCGGGAUGACUUCCGCUAAUCUACUGCAUUGCCACCAGCAGCCCUGGGUCAGCUGGACAAGAAAGCAGCUUCCUCACAGAGACCCGGCUCGUGAAGGUGGUUUAAUGAGUAUUUGUUAAGUAAUUAAAUCAGUGAAUGGGAAGGAGGAGGAAGAGUAAGAAGGAAAGGAAGAAGGGGAAAAGGAAGCAGAUGGUGCCAAGGCCGAAGUUUGGUGAACCUGCUUCUCUUCCAUCUACUGCCUCCCAGAAAAUCAGUAGGCAUGGGGUCGGCUAAAAUAUACUGCUUACUAAUUACUGCCAUUAACGGCUUAUCAUAUUUAACUUAUUGUGUUAGUGGUAAUUAAAGGACUUAAAGUAUAAUCAACAAUCACUAUACAAUUGUUCUUGCAGCAGCUCACAAAUAAAUAGAAGAUUUUUAAGGAGUUCCCGUCGUGGCUCAGCAGUUAACAAACCUGGCUAGUAUGCAUGAGGAUGCGAGUUCAAUCCCUGGCCUUGCUCAGUGGGUUAGCGAUCCGGCAGUGCUGUGGCUGUGGUGCAGGCCAGCAGCUGAGGCUCUGAUUUGACCCUAGCCUGGGAACUUCCAUGUGCCACGGGUGCAGCC
RNAcentral lists this long non-coding RNA (4702 nucleotides) under Sus scrofa (pig). RNAcentral's name for it is "lncRNA (ENSSSCG00000058812.1)". The record is from RNAcentral. Lineage: Eukaryota; Metazoa; Chordata; Mammalia; Artiodactyla; Suidae.